This is a long non-coding RNA of Hylaeus volcanicus, 382 nucleotides long. RefSeq lists it as uncharacterized. NCBI's taxonomy places the organism in Eukaryota, Metazoa, Arthropoda, Insecta, Hymenoptera, Colletidae. The transcript is spliced from 3 exons. The record is from RefSeq and is a predicted model, not a curated record.
ACUCGACGUUGAUAAUGCUAAUACUGUAAAUAACCCAUGAUCAGCUUCGAAAAUAGGGCUGAAAUCCAUUGACCAUACAGAUUCCUUUUUUGCUGCUUGUGUUAAACUUAAAUCCGGUAUAUUAGAACUAUCAAUAAGGACAGUAUCGCAUAAUGAAACAUGCUUUAGUUUCUUAAUGUCGCAGUUAUCAAAAGAAACUUUUCGAAAUUCAUUCUGCUUAAAAAACCUCUAAUUGUCUCACGUUAACUAACCUCCUCACCACUGUAGGAAAUCAAAUCCAAUAAUAAUUUCUCUUUUUCUUUCAAUGCAGAUGUGUUGUAACAAUAAACCACAUUCUAAAAAAAAAAGUUUCUAUUUGAUACAUAUACACAUAUUGUUACCU